This 2189-nucleotide long non-coding RNA is filed under the name Pomacea canaliculata. RNAcentral describes it as "uncharacterized LOC112569280". Lineage: Eukaryota; Metazoa; Mollusca; Gastropoda; Architaenioglossa; Ampullariidae. The record is from RNAcentral.
ACAAUGAGUGUCCACAUGACAAGAAACAGAUGUGGAGAAAGUGGUGAGUAGAGAAAAAGAAAGGGACAGAAACAUGUGGGUUGUUUCUCAUCCGGGGACUACAAUAAUGAGGAGACUUACUCACGAGGACUAGCUGGCUCACUUGAGUAGAGCUACAUUACGAAUGACAACAUUAUGGCUGCUUUGGCUCUCUAUGUGCUCGUCUUUGGGUUCCUAUCAGCAUCACAAACACAAAACUAGACUUGCAGGUCACAGUUCCAUCGGAGAACCAGGAGAUGAUAGCAAUGAACUGCACAGUGGAGCCUGGGCUGUCCGAGUUGAUCAGGAUUGAAGUUAACAAAAAAAGUGACCCACAAGAGGCUGUAUUUCACGAUGUUGUACCAGUUGGAAGUAUUGACGCAUACCAAAGUAUUCAAAGCCACAAUUCGAAGAUCAUCGUUGAGGGUCAUCUAGACAAGACAGGAUGGACAAUGUCUUACCUUAGUGUUACUAUACUGAGAUAUGAAUGUACAGAUGACCGUCUGUACUACUGCAUCGCAACUGGGAGCAGGUCAAGAUUAGUGGCGGAGGUCGACGUCAAAUUUGCAACAACGUCACAGAACUGACCCAGGUAACACCAGACGCCACCAAUCCAACCAACAGCGUCAUCACGUGUCGGCUAAGAACCAAUCAGAAAAUCAAGUCAAUCUCGUUCAUUGGUAUUUCCUGGUCUAAACCGUUGGUAUGACAAAAAUUGGAGUGUUGUAGUUUCGCAAACAGUUCAUUGAAUGACGGACUCGCAUCCACAGGCCCUGCUUUUUCUGAAAAUAUCAUGAAAAUCUCAGGCAACAUAAAUCAGUCAAAUCCAGAAAAAUCACAGCUGAUGGUCAAAUUUCCUUCCGAAACCUGCCAAGAUUCUGCCAAUGAAACGUUCGCUUGCGUCAUCAGAUACUCCGACUCGGAUUCGUCAAGCACGCACCUCGCGCGUGCAGAGCUCGCCGCUCUUGAACCUUGCAGUAGAGGUUUUCCAGAAAUACGUGUCUCCCAGGAAAGGAAAACGACCCAACAAAGUUUACUGUGAACUGUCCUGGGGAUUGGUCUUCUAAAUUUAUUAAUCUGGAGAUUAGUCUGAUCCCGGAUAUACCGUCUAUGCCCUCAAAGCCGGCGCCAUAUAGCCUACUAUAACAGAUUUUCGCCAUCUGGAAUGCCAACCAUGAACCCAGAUUUGGCAAAGAAAGGGGUGUCUGUAAGAGGUGUCUUAGAUGCUUACUUUUCUGCUGGAACCUGCGAGGACACUGGUGUAUACCGCUGUAAGCAGGUGUACCAGUCUACAGGUGAGGCAGCCGUGAAAGUCGUGCUCAGUGAGGCGAGACUUCUACCUUGCUUGCCGGGUGCAGUUGCGAGUGUUGAGAGAUCGUACCCUGCAGACGGUCCCUGGACUGAAACGUUGGUUGCCGGGUAGAUUCACUCCGGGUGGUGGUGCUGGUCAGCCUGGAGGUCAGCGUCGUGAGGAAUGGCACCCGCCGAGUGCUGGCCUACAUCAACAGUUUCCUGAACGAGGCCAAAGUCAGUCACGAGAGUAGCGAUGUACGGGUGGUGGGGGAAAUCCACCCGUAUAAUCCAACUGCAUCCAGUCUUAACGUGACGUCAGAGCUGACGUCGUUGGAAGGAGUGUCACUGUACAUAACCACGUGUACAGCUGUAUACUCCGGCAACGAAACCAAAGGCACUGUUGUUAACUCCAUGGCAGAUGCCAGAGUUCGCUUCCAGAAAUAAGAUUUGGUUGUUGAGGCCUCUCUGGUGGAACUUUAUAUAAACUGCAUUCGCUCUCUUUCUCUUUCUUCCUCCCACCUCGUGCUUUCUGACAGCCCUCACCAAUAAUCAGAAAUGCAGUAUCUUAUAGUCUUAUAGCCUUCACGUAUACUUUGUGUAUAUAGCGCAAAUAUUUUUUGUUUAUUCUUUAGGUCGACCUACUUCUCGAUUAAACAAAACCUAUAUUUUUCAACAUUUAGGCCACAUGUAAAUGUUUUAAAAACGCUCUUUAAAACGGAGUGUCACCGAUAAUUGUCAACAAUGCAGGUUAAUAAAUAUAUAAAAUAUAUAAUUUUUGUUAACUACUGUCAAAAUUUUACUUUUGCUUCGCCAGCUGGUGGCAACGCGCUAUUUCUCCCUACGUAGCACAAGAGUUGAAUAAAUAUAUUCAAGCAACA